RNAcentral lists this ribosomal RNA (1454 nucleotides) under Escherichia coli. RNAcentral's name for it is "partial 23S ribosomal RNA". It matches the Rfam family "Bacterial large subunit ribosomal RNA", at positions 397 to 1838 of the family's 2925-position model. Lineage: Bacteria; Pseudomonadati; Pseudomonadota; Gammaproteobacteria; Enterobacterales; Enterobacteriaceae. The record is from RNAcentral.
CUGUGAGCUCGAUGAGUAGGGCGGGACACGUGGUAUCCUGUCUGAAUAUGGGGGGACCAUCCUCCAAGGCUAAAUACUCCUGACUGACCGAUAGUGAACCAGUACCGUGAGGGAAAGGCGAAAAGAACCCCGGCGAGGGGAGUGAAAAAGAACCUGAAACCGUGUACGUACAAGCAGUGGGAGCCUCUUUAUGGGGUGACUGCGUACCUUUUGUAUAAUGGGUCAGCGACUUAUAUUCUGUAGCAAGGUUAACCGAAUAGGGGAGCCGAAGGGAAACCGAGUCUUAACUGGGCGUUAAGUUGCAGGGUAUAGACCCGAAACCCGGUGAUCUAGCCAUGGGCAGGUUGAAGGUUGGGUAACACUAACUGGAGGACCGAACCGACUAAUGUUGAAAAAUUAGCGGAUGACUUGUGGCUGGGGGUGAAAGGCCAAUCAAACCGGGAGAUAGCUGGUUCUCCCCGAAAGCUAUUUAGGUAGCGCCUCGUGAAUUCAUCUCCGGGGGUAGAGCACUGUUUCGGCAAGGGGGUCAUCCCGACUUACCAACCCGAUGCAAACUGCGAAUACCGGAGAAUGUUAUCACGGGAGACACACGGCGGGUGCUAACGUCCGUCGUGAAGAGGGAAACAACCCAGACCGCCAGCUAAGGUCCCAAAGUCAUGGUUAAGUGGGAAACGAUGUGGGAAGGCCCAGACAGCCAGGAUGUUGGCUUAGAAGCAGCCAUCAUUUAAAGAAAGCGUAAUAGCUCACUGGUCGAGUCGGCCUGCGCGGAAGAUGUAACGGGGCUAAACCAUGCACCGAAGCUGCGGCAGCGACACUAUGUGUUGUUGGGUAGGGGAGCGUUCUGUAAGCCUGCGAAGGUGUACUGUGAGGUAUGCUGGAGGUAUCAGAAGUGCGAAUGCUGACAUAAGUAACGAUAAAGCGGGUGAAAAGCCCGCUCGCCGGAAGACCAAGGGUUCCUGUCCAACGUUAAUCGGGGCAGGGUGAGUCGACCCCUAAGGCGAGGCCGAAAGGCGUAGUCGAUGGGAAACAGGUUAAUAUUCCUGUACUUGGUGUUACUGCGAAGGGGGGACGGAGAAGGCUAUGUUGGCCGGGCGACGGUUGUCCCGGUUUAAGCGUGUAGGCUGGUUUUCCAGGCAAAUCCGGAAAAUCAAGGCUGAGGCGUGAUGACGAGGCACUACGGUGCUGAAGCAACAAAUGCCCUGCUUCCAGGAAAAGCCUCUAAGCAUCAGGUAACAUCAAAUCGUACCCCAAACCGACACAGGUGGUCAGGUAGAGAAUACCAAGGCGCUUGAGAGAACUCGGGUGAAGGAACUAGGCAAAAUGGUGCCGUAACUUCGGGAGAAGGCACGCUGAUAUGUAGGUGAAGUCCCUCGCGGAUGGAGCUGAAAUCAGUCGAAGAUACCAGCUGGCUGCAACUGUUUAUUAAAAACACAGCACUGUGCAAACACGAAAGU